This is a long non-coding RNA of Cyprinus carpio carpio, 2093 nucleotides long. The record is from Ensembl. NCBI's taxonomy places the organism in Eukaryota, Metazoa, Chordata, Actinopteri, Cypriniformes, Cyprinidae.
GCAACCCUAGUUCAGAGUGAAACUGUGUUCCUCUCAUACAUUGGUAGGUAAACUCAUGAACUCGAAUGUGAUAUCAACAAGUGUUUUUAAAUGUAGGAAGAUUUUUUUUCCCCCUCAGCUAAACGCUGCACGCCGGAGAUCCGGUGCAGUGCCAGAGAACUUCAAGCCCUGUCUUCUGUUUAUUCAGCUGCACCGAAAGGCAUUUCCUGGAUUUGUACUCUUGUUUGUACUUUCUUCUACACUGGAAGCUCCUGUCAAGUCAAAUUCCUUGUGUGUGUAAACAUACUUGGUAAUAAACCUCUUCUGAUUCUGUUUCUGAUAAUUCUGCAGCUAAAUCUUUACUGACAGGUUUAGACAGGGUGCAGGCUAAGGUCCUGUGGUUCUUUUGUGGAGCUUUCAGAAUGUCACCCUAUAGCCUCAAUACAAGUAGAAGUAGGAGAGAUGCCAUUAAAGGUUAGACGGCUCAAACUAACAAUGUCAUACUGGACAAAUCUGCAUGGGCAUGAUGCAACACACCCUGCAAAAAAGGUACUUGAAGAAUGUAUUCAUCCAAAAAUACAAAAUUAACAUCCAAAAAAGAAUUUCAGCUCACCUAUCAGUCGUCUUAGCUGAAAUAAUGGCCAUUAUUUUAGCACUACAGUGGGUAGAGGAAGUUAAGCAACAUAAGAUCAUCUGCUCAAAUACCAUGUCAAGUAUCUGGAGUGGAAAGUCUGUAGGAAGGCAAUAAGGCUUUUGGAUUAAAUAAAUCAAUUCAUUUUUAGACUAACUCAACAAAAUAUUUAUACACAGUUUACGCGGGUUCCAGCGCAUGUGGGUAUUGAGUGAAAUGAAAAGGUGGAUAAGUUGGCAAAAGAAGCCCUGAAGGCAGAACAUAUAGAUAUACAAAUAGCACUUAGUAAAUCAGAAAUUAAGACAAUAAAGACAAUAUUAAUAAAAUUUGGCAGGAUACAUGGGAUCAGGAGGAGAACAGAAAACAUUUGUAUAGCAUUCAGAAAGAAGUGAUAGUUAAAAAGUAUAGUAAUCUGAGGUGGCAGGAGGAAACUAUUUUAACAAGGCUGAGAAUAGGACACACAAGUUUUAAUAGUUGCUCAAGAUUAAUAGGAAAACACCAGACAGGAUUAUGCAUUGUGGAGAAGUGGAAAAUGCAAAACAUACUCUUGGUGUGUAGAAAAUACUCUGAAAAAAGAAUUGAUCUAGAAAUGGCAUGAAAUAAUGGAUUGAGCUUAAAAACCUAUUGAGUCUGCCUGGCACACAAUCGAUAAUUAAGGCUGUCAUGACCUGCGCAAAUCCACGUUCAUUAUUAGUGUGGAUUUGCGCAGCUUGUCAUUUAACAACGGCUCUGUGUAGUAAUAACUGCUCUAUGUGAAAUCACGCACGUGAUGGAAUUUACUGCUGAUUAGAGAACCGCCUUUACUGACGAGAUGCACAUUAAUUAUCGGCCGAUAUUUAUUGUGCACCCCUAUUUUACACUAAAGAAACAAGGCAUUUACAUUAAAUGAUAGAAUCUUGCAGUGUCAUAUUGUCAUUACAUAUGUGUGUUUUGCAUUUAUAUGCAGGUGAAGACUGUCUACUGUUGAGGGUGGGGGGCGUGCUAGUUCAUGCAUAUGUAAAGACAUUGCAGGACCAGAAGAAGACAACCAUUAUUUCAAGAAAUUGGCUCAAUGCAUGCUGUAACUGUUUUAAGGUGUUUCAGGAGGUUCAGGAAGAACCAGCGCACACUAUAUCCCACUGUGCAGAUUUUAGGAAGGUCUGACUGGACACAAGUCUUCAGUGAGAAGAGAAUCUUCAGAAUUGUAAAAAUGGAGGGAUCUGAAAUUUGCUGAGCAGUUGAGGUUGAGGAUGGUGUUUUUUUAAAUGUUAAAUAAAUGCAGGAAUGUUGUGUAAAAGGUGGGGGGAAAGGUUUUCUAGUUUUGUUACAUAAUGUAACAUUUUAGUGUAAUUGUAUUUUAAGUAAUGUAACAUUUAAUUUAAUUGUAUUAUGAAAUGUUUUGCAGCGUUUUUAUUUUUAUUUUUUAAGUGAUACUCCAUUUUUUAAAGUCUUUAUUGUAAUCUGGAAAAAUGCAUUUACACAAAGAAAUAUUUUACUGUUCAAC